UGAACGCUGGCGGCGUGCCUAACACAUGCAAGUCGAGCGAUCUUCUUCGGAAGGGAGCGGCGGACGGGUGAGUAACGCGUGGGUAACCUGCCCUGUACACACGGAUAACAUACCGAAAGGUAUGCUAAUACGGGAUAACAUAAGAAAGUCGCAUGGCUUUCUUAUCAAAGCUUUUGCGGUACAGGAUGGACCCGCGUCUGAUUAGCUAGUUGGUAAGGUAACGGCUUACCAAGGCGACGAUCAGUAGCCGACCUGAGAGGGUGAUCGGCCACAUUGGAACUGAGACACGGUCCAAACUCCUACGGGAGGCAGCAGUGGGGAAUAUUGCACAAUGGGCGAAAGCCUGAUGCAGCAACGCCGCGUGAGCGAUGAAGGCCUUCGGGUCGUAAAGCUCUGUCCUCAAGGAAGAUAAUGACGGUACUUGAGGAGGAAGCCCCGGCUAACUACGUGCCAGCAGCCGCGGUAAUACGUAGGGGGCUAGCGUUAUCCGGAAUUACUGGGCGUAAAGGGUGCGUAGGCGGUCUUUCAAGUCAGAAGUGAAAGGCUACGGCUCAACCGUAGUAAGCUUUUGAAACUGUAAGACUUGAGUGCAGGAGAGGAGAGUGGAAUUCCUAGUGUAGCGGUGAAAUGCGUAGAUAUUAGGAGGAACACCAGUUGCGAAGGCGGCUCUCUGGACUGUAACUGACGCUGAGGCACGAAAGCGUGGGGAGCA
This 712-nucleotide ribosomal RNA is filed under the name uncultured Clostridium sp. Its description in RNAcentral is "bacterial SSU rRNA". It matches the Rfam family "Bacterial small subunit ribosomal RNA", at positions 30 to 770 of the family's 1533-position model. The record is from RNAcentral. Lineage: Bacteria; Bacillati; Bacillota; Clostridia; Eubacteriales; Clostridiaceae.